Molecule: ribosomal RNA, 497 nt
Filed under: uncultured bacterium
Lineage: Bacteria
Description: partial 16S ribosomal RNA
Rfam family: Bacterial small subunit ribosomal RNA
Source: RNAcentral
GAUGAACGCUGGCGGCGUGCCUAAUACAUGCAAGUCGAGCGAACGGACGAGAAGCUUGCUUCUCUGAUGUUAGCGGCGGACGGGUGAGUAACACGUGGAUAACCUACCUAUAAGACUGGGAUAACUUCGGGAAACCGGAGCUAAUACCGGAUAAUAUUUUGAACCGCAUGGUUCAAAAGUGAAAGACGGUCUUGCUGUCACUUAUAGAUGGAUCCGCGCUGGAUUAGCUAGUUGGUAAGGUAACGGCUUACCAAGGCAACGAUGCAUAGCCGACCUGAGAGGGUGAUCGGCCACACUGGAACUGAGACACGGUCCAGACUCCUACGGGAGGCAGCAGUAGGGAAUCUUCCGCAAUGGGCGAAAGCCUGACGGAGCAACGCCGCGUGAGUGAUGAAGGUCUUCGGAUCGUAAAACUCUGUUAUUAGGGAAGAACAUAUGUGUAAGUAACUGUGCACAUCUUGACGGUACCUAAUCAGAAAGCCACGGCUAACUACGUG